UCUACUUAAUCAUCAUUUGCAUUUCCUCUCCUCCCCAACUCCUUCCUCUGUUCACUGCGCCACCGCCAUCCCGAUCACAUUGGCACCAUGUGACCACCGUCGGUCGAGCCUUCUUUCUCCUCCACCGAUCGUCGGAGGUCCUUGGGUCUUCUUCCUUCUCAGGUCAUCGCCCCCACGCAGGUAGAUCUUCAACCAAGAGGGAGAUCUGAGACCUAGUCUCGAUCUCCCAUCGCUGCAACUCUACGCACUCCAUCUCUGACCCUCGGACCACAUCUCUGACCCACAGACCACAGUACUCUAGCUGACCUUUGCCUUGGUCCGUGCCCUACUCUCGAUCCUCCCCUUGUACAGAGACGAGGCUCCAGCAAGGAGAUUGGUCGCUGGUGGCUAGCCGCUGCUACCAGAUCCUUUGCUACGGCUAUUUCCCUAGCUCUAGGGUCAGUGCUAGAUCACUAUCCCUGGUUUGACAUGAAGCUUCUGGCCUGGAUCUCAUAAAGAGUGCAGUUCCAUCCAAACAACUCUGUUUCAGCCAGAAAUCAGGGAUCGACUAUGAGGGUAUUGAUUUGGGAUAUCAGCAACUCUACCAUGCCCCAACUAUAAUUUCCGGCAGCAAGCACUUCUCCGAUUGUGAGUCAAUAGUGAAGCAUCCGGAUUUGGAUAUGACAAUGGCUCUGUUAAGUGUUGGGAGAGAGUGGUGGAGGAAUUGGAUCUUUUGAAACAGUACCUUUGGAGCCUUUCCGAUUAUGAUUGAGAAUAUUAUUAAAUUCAAGAUAUUAGUUUUCUCAACGAGCUCAUGCAAGUUAUUCAGACUGUGCUGCAACAAUGUUUUCCAUCAUUGUUUGAUCAGAGGUGAUAUUUAACUUGGGAAGGAUCUCUACCAUGAUUUAUGGAGCUAACGUGGCUGUUAUAUUCUGUGGAUACAUAAUCUAUGACACAGAUAACCUGAUCAAACAUUAAUCCUACGAUGAGCAUAUUAAUUGGGUAGCGGUGGCGCUGUACCUAGAAAUAAUCAACUUGUUCUUGUCUCUGCUUGCUUUGUUCAGAGCAUUUGAAAGUUAUGAACCAAGUAAGCCUCACAAUGCGCUGUUAAUACUCAACGUGAAUGUUCAAAUCCAUCACUUGAAUCACUGGUAAUGAAAUU
Zingiber officinale is the source of this 1141-nucleotide long non-coding RNA. RefSeq lists it as uncharacterized. The transcript is spliced from 4 exons. The record is from RefSeq and is a predicted model, not a curated record. Lineage: Eukaryota; Viridiplantae; Streptophyta; Magnoliopsida; Zingiberales; Zingiberaceae.